GAUGAACGCUGGCGGCGUGCCUAAUACAUGCAAGUCGAGCGAACAGACGAGGAGCUUGCUCCUCUGACGUUAGCGGCGGACGGGUGAGUAACACGUGGAUAACCUACCUAUAAGACUGGGAUAACUUCGGGAAACCGGAGCUAAUACCGGAUAACAUUUUGAACCGCAUGGUUUAACAGUGAAAGACGGUCUUGCUGUCACUUAUAGAUGGAUCCGCGCCGCAUUAGCUAGUUGGUAAGGUAACGGCUUACCAAGGCAACGAUGCGUAGCCGACCUGAGAGGGUGAUCGGCCACACGGGAACGGAGACACGGCCCAGACUCCUACGGGAGGCAGAAGUAGGGAAUCUUCCGAAAGGGGCGAAAGCCUGACGGAGCAACGCCGCGUGAGGGAAGAAGGUCUUCGGAUCGUAAAACUUUGUUAUUGGGGAAAAACAAAGGUGUAAGUAACUUUGCACGUCUUGACGGUACCUAAUCAGAAAGCCAGGGCUAACUACGUG
RNAcentral lists this ribosomal RNA (497 nucleotides) under uncultured bacterium. Its description in RNAcentral is "partial 16S ribosomal RNA". It matches the Rfam family "Bacterial small subunit ribosomal RNA", at positions 28 to 507 of the family's 1533-position model. The record is from RNAcentral.